GCUGGGCGUGGUGGCGCGUGCCUGUAAUCCCAGCUACUUAGGAGGCUGAGGCAGGAGAAUUGCCUGAGCCCAGGAGGCGGAGGUUGCAGUGAGCCGAGACCGCGCCAUUGCACUCCAGCCUGGGUAACAAGAGCGAAACUCCGUCUCAAAAAAAAAAAAAAAAAAAAGACAGGAUGUCUUUCUAUUUCCCAGGCUGGAGCGCAGCGGCAUGAUCACAGCUCACUGCAGCCUCAAACUCUUGGACUCAGUCAAUCCUCCUGCCUCA
RNAcentral lists this small RNA (265 nucleotides) under Saimiri boliviensis boliviensis (Bolivian squirrel monkey). RNAcentral's name for it is "Metazoan signal recognition particle RNA (ENSSBOG00000008722.1)". Lineage: Eukaryota; Metazoa; Chordata; Mammalia; Primates; Cebidae. The record is from RNAcentral.